This 529-nucleotide ribosomal RNA is filed under the name uncultured bacterium. RNAcentral describes it as "bacterial SSU rRNA". It matches the Rfam family "Bacterial small subunit ribosomal RNA", at positions 777 to 1304 of the family's 1533-position model. The record is from RNAcentral.
AAUAGAUACCCGGGUAGUCCACGCCGUAAACGAUGAGUGCUAAGUGUUAGAGGGUUUCCGCCCUUUAGUGCUGCAGCUAACGCAUUAAGUACUCCGCCUGGGGAGUACGGCCGCAAGGCUGAAACUCAAAGGAAUUGACGGGGGCCCGCACAAGCGGUGGAGCAUGUGGUUUAACUCGAAGCAACGCGAAGAACCUUACCAGGUCUUGACAUCCUCUGACAACCCUAGAGAUAGGGCUUUCCCCUUCGGGGGACAGAGUGACAGGUGGUGCAUGGUUGUCGUCAGCUCGUGUCGUGAGAUGUUGGGUUAAGUCCCGCAACGAGCGCAACCCUUGAUCUUAGUUGCCAGUAUUCAGUUGGGCACUCUAAGGUGACUGCCGGUGACAAACCGGAGGAAGGUGGGGAUGACGUCAAAUCAUCAUGCCCCUUAUGACCUGGGCUACACACGUGCUACAAUGGAUGGUACAAAGGGCUGCAAACCUGCGAAGGUAAGCGAAUCCCAUAAAGCCAUUCUCAGUUCGGAUUGCAGG